This 66-nucleotide small RNA is filed under the name Pseudomonas anguilliseptica. RNAcentral describes it as "Pseudomonas sRNA P26". It matches the Rfam family "Pseudomonas sRNA P26". Rfam says of the family: P26 is conserved across many Gammaproteobacteria species and appears to be consistently located between the DNA directed RNA polymerase (beta subunit) and 50S ribosomal protein L7/L12 genes. The record is from RNAcentral. Lineage: Bacteria; Pseudomonadati; Pseudomonadota; Gammaproteobacteria; Pseudomonadales; Pseudomonadaceae.
GACCUUGCGUCUACAGCCCAAGCGUUGAGCGAAAGGCUGAUGGCUGGUGGCUUUUGCCACCGGCCU